AACGAACGCUGGCGGCAGGCCUAACACAUGCAAGUCGAGCGGACCCUUCGGGGUUAGCUGCUGACGGGUGAGUAACGCCUGGGAAUAUGCCCUUCUCUACGGUAUCGUCCUGGGAAACUGGGGGUAAUACCGUAUACGCUCAUUGGGGGUAAGAUGUAUCGGGGAAGGAUUAGUCCGCGUUGGCUUAGGUUGUUGGUGUGGUAAUGGCCUAUCAAGCCGAAGAUCCAUAGCUGGUUGGAGAGGAUGAUCAGGCACACUGGGACUGGGAGACGGACCAGACUCCUACGGGAGGAAGGAGUGGGGAAUCAGAGACGAUGGGGGCGAGCAUGAUCUAGCCAGGUCGCGUGAGUGAGGAAGGACUUAGGAUCGUAAGGGACUGUCAGAUGGGAAGAUAAUGACGGUACCAGACGAAGAAGCCCCGGCUAACUACGUG
Molecule: ribosomal RNA, 433 nt
Filed under: uncultured bacterium
Lineage: Bacteria
Description: partial 16S ribosomal RNA
Rfam family: Bacterial small subunit ribosomal RNA
Source: RNAcentral